ACGGCUCACCAAGGCAACGAUGCGUAGCCGACCUGAGAGGGUGAUCGGCCACACUGGGACUGAGACACGGCCCAGACUCCUACGGGAGGCAGCAGUAGGGAAUCUUCCGCAAUGGACGAAAGUCUGACGGAGCAACGCCGCGUGAGUGAUGAAGGUUUUCGGAUCGUAAAGCUCUGUUGUUAGGGAAGAACAAGUACCGUUCAAAUAGGGCGGUACCUUGACGGUACCUAACCAGAAAGCCACGGCUAACUACGUGCCAGCAGCCGCGGUAAUACGUAGGUGGCAAGCGUUGUCCGGAAUUAUUGGGCGUAAAGGGCUCGCAGGCGGCUCCUUAAGUCUGAUGUGGAAGCCCCCGGCUCAACCGGGGAGGGUCAUUGGAAACUGGGGAACUUGAGUGCAGAAGAGGAGAGUGGAAUUCCACGUGUAGCGGUGAAAUGCGUAGAGAUGUGGAGGAACACCAGUGGCGAAGGCGACUCUCUGGUCUGUAACUGACGCUGAGGAGCGAAAGCGUGGGGAGCGAACAGGAUUAGAUACCCUGGUAGUCCACGCCGUAAACGAUGAGUGCUAAGUGUUAGGGGGUUUCCGCCCCUUAGUGCUGCAGCUAACGCAUUAAGCACUCCGC
RNAcentral lists this ribosomal RNA (622 nucleotides) under uncultured Bacillota bacterium. RNAcentral describes it as "bacterial SSU rRNA". It matches the Rfam family "Bacterial small subunit ribosomal RNA", at positions 260 to 872 of the family's 1533-position model. Lineage: Bacteria; Bacillati; Bacillota. The record is from RNAcentral.